Molecule: ribosomal RNA, 441 nt
Filed under: uncultured bacterium
Lineage: Bacteria
Description: partial 16S ribosomal RNA
Rfam family: Bacterial small subunit ribosomal RNA
Source: RNAcentral
CCUACGGGUGGCAGCAGUGGGGGAUAUUGCACAAUGGGGGGAACCCUGAUGCAGCGACGCCGCGUGGGUGAAGGAGUGCUUCGGCAUGUAAAGCCCUAUCGGCAGGGAAGAAGCAAGACGGUACCUGACUAAGAAGCCCCGGCUAACUACGUGCCAGCAGCCGCGGUAAUACGUAGGGGGCGAGCGUUAUCCGGAUUCACUGGGGGUAACGGGAGCGUAGACGGCCAGGCUAGCCGGGGGUGAAAGCCCGGGGCACAACCCCGGGACUGCCCUUGAAACUGCAUGGCUGGAGUGGGGGAGGGGUAGGCGGAAUGCCUGGGGUAGCGGUGAAAUGCGUAGAUAUCAGGAGGAACACCGGCGGCGAAGGCGGCCUGCUGGACCGCGACUGACGUUGAGGCACGAAAGCGUGGGGAGCGAACAGGAUUAGAUACCCUUGUAGUC